GCAGCGAUCGAGAAGGACGGCCAGGGGAGACGAACCCUCGCCUGGAUCCCUUCGGAAAGCCGCUCCGCUCCUGUAUAAUAUUCGCCCACCAACGCCACAACUUGGAUGGGGGCGAUGACUAAUUGCCCCAGAUGCACUGCAUCGGCGCGUCCAGCCUCUUUCUCACUUCUCUCUCAUCCAUCUGUCUCCAUCGCUGGGUCUAUCAGCAAAUCGCAGGAUCGGUUCCCUCGUAGUAGUAUCAGGCUAAAAUUGGGACGGAAAGACGCUGCUGCCAUCGAUCUCCCCAGGUGUUUGCAUGUAAUUGUAUGCGUGCGCAUGUACGUACGUACCUCUCUUGAAUUAUUGGACUACAACUCGGAGUGUGUUCCUAUGUUUGGUAACUAGAUCUGAAUAACUGAUCAGAUUCGGCGAGCAGUCAUAGUUAUGAGAUUGAAAGCUUCAACUCUAAGACUCUAGCACUACAGUGACUGCAUGCGUACUUUCAACUUCAAGAAGACACGCAAAGGGCAAGGUAUCAGUUGAACGCACCUCAUGUCCUUGAGCCCAGGAAAUGAGCCCCCGGAGGACAUCCAAGAACUGAUCUCCAGUACUAGUCCCAACUGCAGUCCAUCUGCCGCACCCCGCGACAUGAAGAGCGGCAGAGGCUGGGGCGACGGCGGGGCGUCGUCGCGCACUUCGACAUCCGAACAGGGAGUGGUCCACGGGGAGGAGGAGGCUAGCCGUAGCACUGGCUUCUGGACCAGGUACUUUUCGGUGUCGUUGCUGCUGCUCCUGGGCGUCACCGCGUCGCUGGUGAUCCUCCCGCUCGUCCUGCCGCCGCUCCCGCCGCCGCCAUCGAUGCUGUUGCUGGUGCCGGUGGCAAUGCUGCUGGUGCUGCUGGUGCUGGCGUUCAUGCCGACGUCGUCGGGCGGCCGCAGUGGGGCGGACCUGACAUAGAUAACCACAUCGUUUUCCAGCCCUUGUUCUGUUUUUUCCAUUUGUUCUUGCACGGAUCAGUUUAAGAUCCUUCUGCCCUUCUCAAUGUUAUGCAUGCUGGUCGUUUUUAGGUUAUUUUUAGUAUUUUUUAAACAAAACUGCCAAUUAAUUUGUGUUUUGUUACUGGUAUGUUUACACAAGAUCAGAGAAUGAUAAUUCUUCCUCUUUUCACUA
Molecule: RNA transcript, 1149 nt
Organism: Phragmites australis (common reed)
Lineage: Eukaryota; Viridiplantae; Streptophyta; Magnoliopsida; Poales; Poaceae
Gene name: protein AUXIN-REGULATED GENE INVOLVED IN ORGAN SIZE-like
Exons: 3
Source: RefSeq, a predicted model, not a curated record